AUGCCUCUGUCUGAUAGGCGGCUAAAGGUCAUUGACUUCCAAGACCUACUUGACAAGUUAAUUAAGAAGAUUGCUGGUUGGAAAGCUAGGUGGAUCUCCUCCACUGGUAGAAUGGUGCUUGUAAAGUUUGUUCUCUCAGCAAUGCCAAUUUUCCUUCUGCUAGCUGUUCAUCAACCAAAAUGGGUCAGCAAGAAAAUUGACAAACUACGUCGUGCUUUCUUAUGGGCUGGCUCUAAUGCCGUCUGUGGAGGCAAAUGCCUUGUCUGCUGGACUCAGGGGUGCUCACCCAUCUCCAUUGGCGGGCUGGGCAUCCAUGACCUACAAGCUCAGGGGCGAGCGCUUAAAGUUCGCUGGCUUUGGCAGCGCGCCACAGAUCCGGAUAAGCCAUGGCAAGGUCUGCAGCUUCCUGUUGAUAAGCAUGUUAAGGCCCUUUUCACUGCUUGUACCUCCAUCAAGAUUGGCAACGGCAUUAGGAUCUCCUUUUGGCAUGAUCACUGGCUCGGCGGCGAGACUCCGGCUGUUUCAUUUCCUAACCUUUUCAAGAACAGCAAGAACAGAAAAAUAUCAUUGGCUGAAGGUCUCACCAAUAGAAAAUGGGUCACCCUUCUCAAGCGCAACCCAGGCAUUGAUGUCUACUACACAACCUUCUUCUUGUAA
Molecule: ribosomal RNA, 657 nt
Filed under: Triticum aestivum (bread wheat)
Lineage: Eukaryota; Viridiplantae; Streptophyta; Magnoliopsida; Poales; Poaceae
Description: partial small subunit ribosomal RNA
Source: RNAcentral